GGGAGGCAGCAGUAAGGCCUAUUGGACAAUGGUCGCAAGACUGAUCCAGCCAUGCCGCGUGCAGGAUGAACGAUCUAUGAUCUGUAAACUGCUUUUGUUCGGGAAUAAACCCCUUCACGUGUGGAGGGCUGAAUGUACCGAAAGAAUAAGGGUCGGCUAACUUCGUGCCAGCAGCCGCGGUAAGACGAAGGACCCAAGCGUUAUCCGGAUUUAUUGGGUUUAAAGGGUGCGUAGGCGGGUUGUUAAGUCAGUGGUGAAAGCCUAGAGCUUAACUCUAGAAUUGCCAUUGAUACUGACGAUCUUGAGGAUAGUUGAGGUGGGCGGAAUGUAUCAUGUAGCGGUGAAAUGCUUAGAGAUGAUACAGAACACCGAUUGCGAAGGCAGCUCACUAAGCUAUUUCUGACGCUGAGGCACGAAAGCGUGGGGAUCAAACAGGAUUAGAUACCC
RNAcentral lists this ribosomal RNA (447 nucleotides) under uncultured bacterium. Its description in RNAcentral is "bacterial SSU rRNA". It matches the Rfam family "Bacterial small subunit ribosomal RNA", at positions 343 to 787 of the family's 1533-position model. The record is from RNAcentral.